This 467-nucleotide ribosomal RNA is filed under the name uncultured bacterium. RNAcentral describes it as "partial 16S ribosomal RNA". The stretch from base 54 to 467 matches the Rfam family "Bacterial small subunit ribosomal RNA", at positions 39 to 507 of the family's 1533-position model. The record is from RNAcentral.
GGGGGGGGGGGGGGGGGGGGGUGAGGCGUGCGGGGCGGGCGGGGGGGCGGGGGUCGGGGGGUGCUGGGGUGGGGGGCGGGUGGGUAAGACGUGAGUAGCCUGCCCUUGUCUUUGGGGUGGCUUCCGUAGGCUGGGGCUAGUACCGGCUAGGCGCUCCUGCUUCCUGCUUGGUGUUGGAGAGUUUCGGCGGUUGGGGGUGUCGUCGCGGCUUAUCCGCUUUUUUGUUGGGUAUUGGCUUAGCAAGGUUUUGACGGGUAGCCGGCCUGAGAGGGUGACCGGCCACAUUGGGACUGAGAGACGGCCCAGACUCCUACGGGAGGCAGCAGUGGGGAAUAUUGCACAAUGGGUGGAAGCCUGAUGCAGCAACGCCGUGUGCGGGAUGACGGCCUUCGGGUUGUAAACCGCUUUCGCUCAUGACGAAGCUUUGUGUGACGGUAGUGGGUAAAGAAGCACCGGCUAACUACGUG